This 283-nucleotide long non-coding RNA is filed under the name Elaeis guineensis (African oil palm). RNAcentral describes it as "long non-coding RNA (EGUI_LNC044240)". Lineage: Eukaryota; Viridiplantae; Streptophyta; Magnoliopsida; Arecales; Arecaceae. The record is from RNAcentral.
AUACUGGUAAAGAAGUUGUUUGGUUAUGAAAGUUCAUUAGCGAGCUUGGAGAGGCACUCUCCAUUGAUGAUCCAGUUCUUCUGUAUUAACAGUACUACUAGAGCCAUAGCUCAAGCUGAAGAACUGAUGUUCUAUCUGUCAACCAAAUACUUUCUGCAUUGCAAUCAUCUAGUUCGAUAAGAUCGAAAUAAAGUCAACCUCAGAAAGAUCGACUGAAAGGAGAACUUGACCGACCCAUUGACUAGAGCAAUCGGAUCUAAUGAGUUCGAUGAUCUAAAAUGAA